GAUGAACGCUGGCGGCGUGCCUAAUACAUGCAAGUCGAGCGAACAGAUAAGGAGCUUGCUCCUUUGACGUUAGCGGCGGACGGGUGAGUAACACGUGGGUAACCUACCUAUAAGACUGGGAUAACUUCGGGAAACCGGAGCUAAUACCGGAUAACAUUUGGAAUCGCAUGGUUCUAAAGUGAAAGAUGGUUUUGCUAUCACUUAUAGAUGGACCCGCGCCGUAUUAGCUAGUUGGUAAGGUAACGGCUUACCAAGGCGACGAUACGUAGCCGACCUGAGAGGGUGAUCGGCCACACUGGAACUGAGACACGGUCCAGACUCCUACGGGAGGCAGCAGUAGGGAAUCUUCCGCAAUGGGCGAAAGCCUGACGGAGCAACGCCGCGUGAGUGAUGAAGGGUUUCGGCUCGUAAAACUCUGUUAUUAGGGAAGAACAAAUGUGUAAGUAACUGUGCACGUCCUGACGGUACCUAAUCAGAAAGCCACGGCUAACUACGUG
Molecule: ribosomal RNA, 497 nt
Filed under: uncultured bacterium
Lineage: Bacteria
Description: partial 16S ribosomal RNA
Rfam family: Bacterial small subunit ribosomal RNA
Source: RNAcentral